RNAcentral lists this unclassified non-coding RNA (1723 nucleotides) under Leishmania donovani. RNAcentral's name for it is "gene:LdHU3.36.7680(CDS-product:hypothetical_prote in_conserved)". The record is from RNAcentral. Lineage: Eukaryota; Euglenozoa; Kinetoplastea; Trypanosomatida; Trypanosomatidae.
GCCCUUCCUCCCGCCGUUGUGCAGGGCGCUGCAUUGUCUGUGUGCCUGUGUCCGUGCUGAAGUAGGGGUGUUUUGUUGGUGUUUUUUUUUUUCGGGGGGGGGCUUUGGGUGCCUUGGUGGCGGCACGGACAGCAUCGCGCUGGUGUCUUUCUUAGCCUUCUGUUCGUGCGUGCGUGUGUCUCUGCGUGCGCACGUAUGGCGCAGGCUCCAUCAUCUCCGUUGUCGCCGCGCCCGUCAGCGCUCCUUUUCUUGGUCACCGGAAUCCCAGCUGCCGGAAAGUCCACUUUUCUUGUCGCUGCGCAGCGCCACGUCCUCCAACGCGAUUCCAUCUCGGGAGAAGUGCCGAUCUUCGGUGGGCGCUGCCACGGUCGCAUAUGCUCUGUGCUGGAACUCGACAAGGUGCUCGCAGAUCUCGACGCGGCAACGGUGCACGAAAAAGACACAGCUGCCUCAGCAGGGGAGCGUAAGUUUAGCCCGCGACUUUGGAGGCAAGCCACGAGGCGGCUGCUGGAACUGACCCAGUCAGCGCUGCGCACGUGUAUUGAGGGCACCGUCAACGGCGACGCGACGGAGAACGCGGUCGUCCCCAUGAUCUUUGUGGAGGACAACAUGCACUACCGGAGCAUGCGAGAGCGCUAUUAUCAGAUGUGCCGCACCCUGGAACGAGAAGAGUAUUCUCUCCAGUCGCCGCACGAAGACCCGGCAGCCGCGGUGCAGUCACGGCAGCCCCUCAUUGUACUUUUCGAGCUCCGCUUCGCCACGCCGCUGGCCGUGUGCCUCGCACGCAAUGCACAACGUGGUAAUCCUCGAGAAGGGUCCGGCAAAGAGCAGGCGCGCGCAUCUGCGUGGGUGCCACCGCCGGUAAUCUGCUCUAUGGAUGCCUUGUUCGAUCACUGCUACGCGACCGCUGACCCUGUGGACCAUGCGGCGUGGGCGCCAUGCCACUGGAAUGGGUGGCAGUGGACUGCGACGACCCAGCCGUGGGGGCUGCUCGUGCAUGCCACGCAAGGUGGUGAGGCGGAUGAGAUUUGUCCAGCCGCAAUGUCAGAAACGGCAGCGUGUUUCUUUGACGUAGCGCUACAGCGGCCUGAGGCGUGGGACGCGUGCCAAAAGCAGUGCCAGAACAUCGCCCGCUCUCGGCUUCAGCGGCUACGCGACGACGAGCAGAUGGAUGAGGCCACGCGUCUCCGACGGACCGCCGAGACUGUCGAAUCUCACACGCAUCAGUUGGACCUGCAGCUUCGGGGCGUCGUGCACGCGUUCCUUCGCCAGCAGAAUCAGCAGAAAGCGUAUGGAACUGAUGGUGCGCCCACGCCGCAGCAAGCGGCCCUAUUUCGCAGAAGGAUUGUAGUCGCCAAGAAAGAGGCCGCACAGCAGUUCAAGGUGCAGCUUCGACAACUGAGCACCGCAAAACACGAACGGACAGACACGGACGCCAUUGACUUGCUCGGCAGUGGCAUCGAUGACUUUCAGGAGUCCGUCGUUCAACAGUUCCAGCAACAUCUGCUAGACCUCUGGCGAGAACUUGAGGGGUAAGUCCUCCCUGCGUCACGGUAGGAUGCGUCCACGCUCGUGCGACACAGGAAGGAGUUGUCUUUUGCGUGUCACCGCUUCAUCAGUGGACAUAUGCGUGUGCCACUCCUUUUGUAUGUGUAUAUGCCGUUGGCGCUGCCGCCUCUCGCGUUGUUCUCUCGCGGAUGCAUAGCGCAUAGCACUGCUACUG